AUGAAGCGAGCCUCGAUACGCGCGUCGAAGCGUCGGCACAUCUCAUCACUACUUCUCUCCUUCCCGGUGAAACAAGCGGACGUUAAAAUGCGACUUGUCGGGGCGGAGAUCUCGGUUCUGUCUCUCCUGAUGAUGAGCCUUCACGGCGCUGCAGCACUGACUCACUCGCUGAAGUAUUUCCUCACUGCGUCCUCUGGAGUCCCAAACUUCCCAGAGUUUGUGAUUGUUGGGCUGCUGGAUGAAGUUGAGUUUAGUCACUAUGACAGUGACACCAAGAGAGCAGAACCCAGACAGGACUGGAUGAGCAGAGUCACAGAGGAUGAUCCUCAGUUCUGGAAGAGGAACACUGAGCUCGCUAUGGACGCCCAGCAGGUCUACAAAGGCCACAUUGAAAUAGCAAAACAACGCUUCAACCAAACUGGAGGUGUCCACAUUUACCAGAGGAUGGUCGGAUGUGAAUGGGAUGAUGAGACCAAUGAGGUCAAGGGUUAUGAUCAGUUUGGUUAUGAUGGAGAAGACUUCAUAUCAUUUGACCUGCAGACAGAGCAAUAUAUCGCUGCAAAACAGCAGGCUGUCCGCAUCAAACAGAAGUGGGAUCAUAACAGAGCUCUGAAAGCACAGAACAAGAACUACCUGACUCAUGUGUGUCCUGAGUGGCUGAAGAAGCACUUGAACUACGGGAGGAGCUCUCUGAUGAGAACCGAGCGUCCCUCGGUGUCUCUCCUCCAGAAGACUCCCUCCUCUCCAGUCAGCUGCCACGCUACAGGUUUCUACCCCGACAGAGCCGCCCUCUUCUGGAGGAAAGAUGGAGAGGAGCUCCAUGAGGACGUGGACCUCGGAGAGAUCCUCCCCAACCACGACGGGACCUUCCAGAUGAGGGUUGACCUGAAACUGUCCUCCGUCCCUGCUGAAGACUGGAGGAGGUACGACUGUGUGUUCCAGCUGUCUGGUGUGGACGAGGACAUCGUCACCAAACUGGACAAGACCAGGACCAACACGGAGAAGCCUGCUGGCUCCACCUUCAUCAUCAUCAUCAUCAUCGCUGUGGCUGUUCUUGUCGUCAUCAUCGCUGCUGUGGUUGGAUUCAAGGUUUACAGAAAGAGGAACGCAAAUAUAAUUUAGCAAAUGCUCUUCUGCUUCUACUGACGGCUCUGAAGAGUCUCUCAGGGACAAACUGAACCCUAAACCUUGAAGUCGGCGUCCUGCACACAGUUUAUGGGUGAAUGUUGCUCUGGAUCAACAAGCGAUGCUCCACAUUCUUCUCCAUAAACU
Molecule: non-coding RNA, 1272 nt
Organism: Gasterosteus aculeatus aculeatus (three-spined stickleback)
Lineage: Eukaryota; Metazoa; Chordata; Actinopteri; Perciformes; Gasterosteidae
Source: RefSeq, a predicted model, not a curated record